RNAcentral lists this microRNA precursor (111 nucleotides) under Marmota monax (woodchuck). Lineage: Eukaryota; Metazoa; Chordata; Mammalia; Rodentia; Sciuridae. The record is from RNAcentral.
GUGAUGAAGGCAGUUUUGUUUUUCUUUCUCUCUCUCUCUCUCUCUCUCUCUCUUUUUUUUUGAGAGAGAAAGAGAGAGAGAGAGAGAGAGAGAGAGAAUUUUUUUAUAUUU